Molecule: transfer RNA, 72 nt
Filed under: Camelus bactrianus (Bactrian camel)
Lineage: Eukaryota; Metazoa; Chordata; Mammalia; Artiodactyla; Camelidae
Also listed under: 2 other names
Rfam family: tRNA
About the family: Transfer RNA (tRNA) molecules are approximately 80 nucleotides in length. Their secondary structure includes four short double-helical elements and three loops (D, anti-codon, and T loops).
Source: Rfam by way of RNAcentral
GUGGGUACAGCUCAGUGGUAGAGGGCAUGCUUAGCAAGCAGUAAGUCCUGGGUUCAAUCCCCAGUACCUUCA